Molecule: ribosomal RNA, 301 nt
Filed under: uncultured bacterium
Lineage: Bacteria
Description: partial 16S ribosomal RNA
Rfam family: Bacterial small subunit ribosomal RNA
Source: RNAcentral
CAGUAGCCGCGGGAAUACGGAGGGUGCAAGCGUUAAUCGGAAUUACUGGGCGUAAAGCGCACGCAGGCGGUCUGACAAGUCAGAUGUGAAAUCCCCGGGCUUAACCUGGGAACUGCAUUUGAAACUGUCAGGCUGGAGUCUUGUAGAGGGGGGUGGAAUUCCAGGUGUAGCGGUGAAAUGCGUAGAGAUCUGGAGGAAUACCGGUGGCGAAGGCGGCCCCCUGGACAAAGACUGACGCUCAGGUGCGAAAGCGUGGGGAGCAAACAGGAUUAGAGACCCCGGUAGUCCCUGUCUCUUAUAA